This 284-nucleotide ribosomal RNA is filed under the name Escherichia coli. Its description in RNAcentral is "partial 23S ribosomal RNA". It matches the Rfam family "Bacterial large subunit ribosomal RNA", at positions 1291 to 1578 of the family's 2925-position model. The record is from RNAcentral. Lineage: Bacteria; Pseudomonadati; Pseudomonadota; Gammaproteobacteria; Enterobacterales; Enterobacteriaceae.
CGAAUGCUGACAUAAGUAACGAUAAAGCGGGUGAAAAGCCCGCUCGCCGGAAGACCAAGGGUUCCUGUCCAACGUUAAUCGGGGCAGGGUGAGUCGACCCCUAAGGCGAGGCCGAAAGGCGUAGUCGAUGGGAAACAGGUUAAUAUUCCUGUACUUGGUGUUACUGCGAAGGGGGGACGGAGAAGGCUAUGUUGGCCGGGCGACGGUUGUCCCGGUUUAAGCGUGUAGGCUGGUUUUCCAGGCAAAUCCGGAAAAUCAAGGCUGAGGCGUGAUGACGAGGCACU